Molecule: long non-coding RNA, 8117 nt
Filed under: Homo sapiens (human)
Lineage: Eukaryota; Metazoa; Chordata; Mammalia; Primates; Hominidae
Description: non-protein coding lnc-HSPA12A-1:3
Source: RNAcentral
AGAUAUUAACUGGCAUCCCGGCAGAGGAGCCAGUAGGAUGAGGCCCCAGAAUAGGCUGAAGCCAAGUUGUAGCAAACGCCAAGGUGUUCAUCCUGUGAUCAAAGAGGAGCUGCUUAAGGUCGGUGAGCUGAGCUGAGGGCAUUAAGAUGGAGAGUGUUGGCGUGUACGGAUUCUGUGGGUGUAAAGCAAAGAACAAAAUGAAGUGUGAUUCAAGGUGGGAAAUAGCCGCUUCAGCUCCCCCAGGCUGCAGCAGCUACCACACAAAGAAGCAGUCCUAUGGCAAUGACAGGACAUCUGUGUCCAGGAUUUGGAUUUGACGAACUGGCAGUUCCUGCAGGGAUGACGGUACUCCCUAGUUGUGUCUGAAUUGGACGCACCAGCACUUGAGCACACACAAACGCACGUGAACAGACGGAACAUGUUAUGGGCCUGUUAGCCAAGGAAUGACAGAAUUAAUCCAUGGGCAUUUGCGGCCAGUGUUGUGUUAAACUAAAGGGAAAAAGUGAACUGGAAAAAGCAAUGUUUGUUUUAUGAAAAUCUCAGACCCAAUCCUUAGGUGACAGUUCUGGAAAUGAGGGGUGUCUAAAACAAAGGGCAUCUGAAACUUCGGUUUUUCAGCUUCCUUUCCUUGUCUCAUGACCUCUUUCCUACCCGCUGCCUCUGUUUUCUCUAAUAUGGAACAGUGAAAAUGGGGGCCAGCAAAACAGAUUGCUGAUGUCUGUUGAUUUUAUCAAAGGAAGGUUAGAUUGAGUAAGAUGGCAUAAAUAAGCACACAUAGGACAAUACCUGGCAUAUAUCAGGUGCUCAAUAGCAGUGAAUUCUCUCCCUGCUGUCAUGAAUUCUUGAAGGUUGGAGACCAUGCGCUGUUCUGCGUGCCAAGUUAUUUUUUCGGCCUGAUAGCAGGUGAGCUACUGAGUGAAGACAGAGACUGGACGCUAAUUCAGCUCUGAAUCUUCAGCACCUGGCAUGGAAGGUGCACAGGACAUAUUUGAAAAAGGAGAAUUAAUAGAAUUGACCAAUAGGCUGACCUCCUGAAUGAUGACUGAGCAAAUUGAUCUAGAGGUAUUCAAAACAGUUUAGUUGACUGUCCCAAACUUUCUCAGACCUCUUCUGCCACUGACUUCCCUGAAAAGACCCUUUGCAGCCAGGCACGGUGGCUCAUGCCUGUAAUCCCAGCAUGUUGGGAGGCUGAGGUGGGCGGAUCACGAGGUCAAGAGAUUGAGACCAUCCUGGCCAACGUGGUGAAACCUCGUCUCUACUAAAAGUACAAAAAUUAGCUGGGUGUGGUGGCACGUGCUUGUAGUCCCAGCUAGUUGGGAGGCUGAGGCAGGAGAAUCGCUUGAACUGGGGAGGCGGAGGUUGUAGUGAACCAAGAUCAUGUCACUGCACUCCAGCCUGGCAAUAGAGCGAGACUCUGUCUCAAAAAAAAACCAAAAAAACAAAAUCAACCCUUUUGCAUUUUUGUCCUAUCCUGUUUUCCGUCCCCUUGAGACCGUAUCACACGUUCUUUUUCCUCUUUGGUGACCUUCUUUGUCUUUCUUGCUGCUCCUGUACACUGUUGUUUACUCACACUGCUUUUAUUCUGAGCUCUCAUAUCUCUUCUAUUUCUGGUUCUGACGCCUAUCUUGUCUAUGCCUCGCACACUCACCUCCGACUCGGAGUCCUGACCUGCACAGCUGCGAUUGCGGUUUGCACACUUUGAGGGUGAACAGUUGUCAUGCAGCCCUUUUGAGUGCUAAAAAGUGACCACUUAAGAUUUUCCUCGUGGUUAGGAAGAUGAGUAUUUUAAAAUCAUUCUGGAGGAGAUUAGUGGUAAAGAAAACCUUCCUCAGCAACUAAAUCAUUGUGGAAAAAUAAGCCAAUUAGUCACUAAAACAAAAACCUUUUGAAGACUUGUGAACAGAGGAAAGAACAUGUGAAUUACAGGUUUUCUGUUUUGUGGCAUUGAUAGACUCCAGUAGUAUUCAUGAUCGCUGAUCAUCGCGAUGGGGACCCCGGAAAGGUGAAAUUAUGUUCAGUUGAAUAUUACCUAACCCUUCUCAAAGGACAAUUUGAUUUUGUUAUUCCAUUGUUAAGGGCUUUUUGGUGGCCCUUCGAGAUCUGGCUCUGGCUUCUCUUUGACCUUGAACCCUCACUCUGGUUGUGCUGAUCUGCUGACCGUCCUCCGGACACGGUAGGGUGCUCCAUGCCACAGGGCCUUUGAACAAACCUUUCUUAUCCUUGGAAUAAAUGCCUUUUCUUCCUUUUGUUCCCCUGCCAAACACAUGCUAUUAGGAAAGAUUCAACCCCAUGUCAUCACCUCCACAAAGCUUCUCCUGACACCUCCCAAGUUAGAUUGACCUUUUUCUCUUUUGUGUCCCCCACUGUCGAACUUGAUGUUCUUGUCAAUGACAACAAUAGUGGUAACAAUGAUGGUUUCCUUUCAUUGAGUGCCUUUUGGUUCCAGUAAGUGUAAGUGCUUUCACUUGUUAUAUCAUUUAAGCCCUGCCACCCUAUGAAGAGGCCACUAUUAUACAUACAGUCAUGCAUUGCUUUAUGACAGGGAUAUGUUCUGAGAAAUGCAUUAUUAGGCAAUUUCAUCAUUGUGUGAACAUCAUAGAAUGUACUUCCACAAACCUAGAUGAUAUAGCCUGCCUCACAACUAAGCUAUUAUAUGCAGGACAGUCUGCUGCUAGCUGCUUCUAAGCUACAGACCAUAUAUAUGUAUAUAUGUACAUAUCCUCUCCCUGCCCCUCUUGCUCUUUAUAUAUAUAUGCAUAUACCUAUAAUAUAUGCAUAUUUAGAUAGGCUUUUAUAUGUAUAUUGUAUAUAUGUACAUAUAUACAUUUAUUUUUUGAGACAGGGUCUUGCUCUGUCUCCCAUGCUGGAGUGCAGUGGUAUGAUCACGGCUCACUGCAGCCAUGACCUCCCAGGCUCGAGGGAUCCUCCCAGCUCAGCCUCCCAAGUAGGUGGGACUACAGGCAUGCACCACCACAUCUGGCUAAUUUUUGAAUUUUUUUUUGUAGAGAUGGGGUUUCACCAUGUUGCCCGGUUCUCAAACUCCUAGGCUCGAGUAAUCCACCCAACUUUGCUCCCAAAGUGGUGGGAUUAUAGGUGUGAGCCACCGCAACCAGCCCAUAUAUGCAUAUUUAAUAUACAUGUGUAGCAUAUACAUACACAUAUACACAUCUAUGCAUAUAAAUUAACAAUAUGUAUAUAUGUGCAUAAAUUCACAUAUAUUUUCUGUAUAAAGACAGCAAGAGAGGCAGGCGGAGAAAGAAUCAGUUGCAGUCUGGAGGAAUAUACGUGUGUUACAUGGUUUCCCUGCCUUUAAAUUCUCUGUUAAUCUGUAUUCCUUGUAAAGUAGAUGACAGCAUGUAUCUUGGCCUACAUGUUUCUAAAGACAAACCUCUAAGCUCUUGAAGUUCUGCCAUGGUGUAUCAUAGUACAUUGAAGUCAGAAAGCCCAUUAGAGGAGGAGGAUGCCUGGCUAGAAUAGUGUUCUUGAGUUUUUCCAUGUGUAUUGUCUCAGGUAGGAAGAUGACAAGUCCUACUUUGUUCUUGUGUGAUUCCCCAUCAUUCAGUCUGUGGAGGCUGAGCUUGUUAAUGGUGGUGAACACGAGUUUCGUUCUUUGCCAGGAGUGCCCACCAGUGCCCAUAACGCCCUCCCGGAAUGUGCCGGGCAGUAUGUUUAGGGUAAGACUGACUAACGACCCAACACUGACAACGGCCUUAGCACAAACCCAAAAGGCUCUGCUAGAGCUCAGAGGCAGCCACGAGAUUGGGAGAGCUGGAUGACGGUUUGCUAAGAGAAUUCAAGCUGUCAGUCCUCCUGUGUAUCCUUUGGAUUCUGUUAUGCUGUUGCUUGUAGAGGGAAAAAGUUCAUGUGUCAUUUAUAUACAAGUGCCCAUUUGACAUUGAGUGAGUCACAUUUAUUUUACCCUAUAUGAACACAAAAUCUCUGUUUUAAAAUCAGAUUCUAGAACUUUAAAAGGGUUCUUAUGUAUUGUUCUGAAGUAACUCAGUGGCUCUUGGUGAGCCCGCCCCACCUGGCCUGUUGGGUGACCCUCUUCCUGCCCCCUCACCGGUUCUGCUCCUUGUUCCUCUCUCUGCGCCUUGGCUCCCCUUCCCAGAGCCCUUCCUCUUGGUCUUGCCAAAUCCUGCCCAUCCUUUGAGAAACGCUUAUGCCCAUGGCUGUCUUACCCCUUCCUGCUUUGCUGUGGUAUCCAUUAGUCUGUUCUCGCGCUGCUAAUAAAGACAUACAAAAGACUGGGUAAUUUAUAAAGGAAAGAGGUUUAAUGGACUCACAUUUCCACAUGGCUGGGGAGGCCUCACAAUCAUGGUGGAAGAUGAAGGAAGAGCAAAGGGACUUUUUAUGUGGCGGCAGGAAAGAGAGCUUGUGCAGGGAAACUCCCAUUUAUAAAACUGUCAGAUCUCAUGAGACUUAUUCACUACCAUGGGAACAGUAUGGGGGAAACUGCCCCCAUGAUUCAAUUAUCUCCACCUGGCCCUGCCCUUGACACGUGGGGGUUAUUACAAUUCAAGGUGAGAUUUGGGUGGGGACACAGCCAAAAUAUAUCUGGCAUAUGCAAUCUGAUCACCCCUUCCAAACUUCUCUCUUAAAAAUGCAACAUUCUGACAGCAUGUGGAGGCUUGGAUGGAAACACGGUAAAAAUUACAACAUUGUUUCUCACACUUUUGCACCAAAGUGAUACAAAUCGCAGAGCUGAGGCAACUGGUGUUUCUGCGAGAAUGGAAUGGAAUGUGGUUGAAAUUUUGUGUUGUUUUUUAAAUAUUUGCAACUAUUUGUCAUUCUUCCAUAAAAAUCAGAAUUCAUGGUUGUGUACAUAAAAGUAAUUUUCUAAAGUGUGCCUUUGUGUGUCCUUGAUGCAGGACCAGCUUGGACUUGUGACCUGUGCAGUCACACAAGGCCCUGCACGUGGUUUAAUGCUCCGCUGUCACCAUCUUGAAAUUCUUAAUACCUUGAACGAGGGGUCCUGUAUUUUUGUUUCAUGCUGGGCCCAGCAAAUUACAUAGGUGGUCCUCCCUUUGGGGUUCUGCAAGGCAACUAACUGUGAAGCAUGCAUCGAGUUACAGUUUUAAAUCUUAACAUGACUUCAUCUGUUAUGGCCUACCCAGGACAGUGCAGGAAGCUGGGUGCCCUUUAAGAAAGGAGUCUGGGCUGAAGGAGAUGGAGAGGUAGGAAGGGUUGGGGUCCUGAAUGCCAGCUUUGCCAGGGCCAUGCCUCGCAGCCAUGUCCUUCCUGCCUGUCUACCACAGGCCAGGAGGUGAACAGUCAUUCUGUAAUUCACAUGCAGUAAAGCUUUUUGAGAGUUCUGUUUUUCACCUGGAACUGCCAAGUCAUUUGGUGAAGAUUUCCUGCUUGUUUGAAGUCUGCAGAGAAAAACCGCUAAUGAAACAUACCACAUUUGGAAAUGAACUUUUUAAAGUAUGUAUCCAUAAGUUCUUAUUUCAGCUCUUCCUUUUAUUCUAUAAAUGCCUGUCUUAUUUCAAAAGGGACUUUCAGGCAGAGGUAUAACAACAUAAUAAGAACAAUACAUUUGAGAAACAGAACUGAAAAGAAACUAAGGCAAAGUCAGGGGUAAAAUUGGAUCACAAAUGCAUACCACGAGGUCUUACUGAAUUUAAAAUUUACAAAUGCCUGUAAGCUUCCCAGUCGCAGAACAAAGGAACACAAUUGGUCAUAUCUAUAUGCAGCAGGAGAAGGGUUGGGCGGACAGCAGCUCGCAACUUGGCUUCCACCGUCUGCCGCAGAGAAUUUAGAGGCGUCUUGGGAACAUGAGUGGGGCUAUCCAGGAAUCUGUUUACCUGAGGGACUAAGUCCUGUCCCUUGGACAUCCCCAAAUAGUCCAGAAUGAAGCUUUAUUUGGAGAAGAGGGGCAGUUCGGAGCACUUCAUGACGUCUUGUCACCCAGUUUGUCCCACAUCUGCCUUCAAACUGAGUGGGACUUGAGCAAACAACACCCAGAGCUUCACUCUUCCCCACCACUGCGCUGGCCCUGCGGUGUUGUGAGUUGGUGGCUCCAGUGACAUGGCAGUGGCGGUGAGCCUGGCGCUGGCAGUGUUGGUGACACUCACGUGGUGGUGGUGGCACCAGCACUGGCGGUGUCUGUACCAGCAGGAGAGGUAGCACCGACACCUCCAAAGUGGAUGCAGCAGCAUCACAGUGGCUACAGGUGCCAAUCGGCUGUAGUAGGUGUGGAGGCAGUGGCUGGGAGUGGCUCGCAGCAAGGGCGAGCUCUCUGGACAACUCCAUGGGUGACAGAAGCCUGGACACGGGAGACCUUGGGGAGCCUUAUCCAAGGAGGUGCUUGAGGCUCCCCCUUGAGGAAGACCUCUCCAUUGGUGGGGGAAUUUGGAGCCAAAGAAAGCUCCUUAUGUUGUCAAAAUGUCCCUUUUUUAACCUUAGGAUAUUGUGACCCCUGAAGGUAUUAAUGAUAUUCUAGAGCAUUUGAAAGACAACAGCCAACUAGCUGGUUAAGCGCAGCUCAGUUUUUCCCCAGUGUGUGUGGGUGGCUGAGCACACAUUCAUUAAUUCAGUGAUUCAUUCAGCCAACAUCUGCGGAACCCCUGCUGGCUUCUGGAGUCAGAUUGCGGGGAUCUGAAUCGGGCUUGCCACUUACUAGUCUAUGACCUCGAGCAAAUGACGUGAUUCCUCUAAUACCCAGUUUCCCCAUCUGUAAUAUGAAAUGUGAAUACUAAGUAUCCGCCUCAUUGGGUUUUAGGAGAAUCAAAUGCAUGUCAAGUGUUUAACAUGGUGCCUGGCACAGAUUAAACAUCCAAGAAGUGUGAGUUAUGAUUAAAGGCUGUGAAAUGUACAAAGAGCCACAUAGUCCCCCAUUCAUUCAAGCAUUUUCUGUCCAUAUAAGGAAAUGCUACAUAGCCCAACUCCAGAAGGCUACACAUUAACUGGGGGUAUCACACAGUAGAGAAAUUAUGGGUGAUUUGAUUUGAUUAUUUAUCUGCUUUUUAGGAAUUUUCCAGUGUAUGUGAACUGUUUGUGAGAUCUUAAAACAGAAAGAAAAGCAACCCCAUUUGCCCUUCCCUUUGGUACUUCUGUGACACCCGUGUCGUCCAUCAGUUCCCAUGCAGGCAGGGGCGGUGACACUCACGCAUCUGUAGAUGGCUCAGACUCUCAGAAACUUCUUUCUUAGAGGAUCUGCUUGUAGUUUCUGGCUUUUACGUUUCAUUCAUUAUUCAUUCAUUCGUUCAUUCAAGAAAUACUUAUUAAGCACCUCUUGUCUGCCAGGCACAUUGAUAAGUUCUGGUGAGUGAAAGCCAAUGGCUCCCUUGAAGGAGCUGGUAAUUUAUCAGGGUUCUCAGACUGUCAUCCAAUAAUUAAAUAAAUAUGUCACGACAGAUGGAAGUGAGAUGAAGGCAAGGAACUUGGUGCUGUGAAGGUGGACAGCAGAGAUGAAGGUGGAGGGAGGCGGGGGAGGCUUCCCUGGGAGGUGACGGGAAAGCUGAGCUGUGAAGGUGCAUAGGAGUUAUUGGGUGUGUGUGGGGGUGGGGCAUGUGCGGUCCAGACAGAGGAGCAGAGUCGACUUCGGGGCCACACAGAGAAUGGAAUUCCCUUUCCAUGUGACAGCCCUUCACACAUCUGUAGGUGGCUUCUCCCCGGAAGCCUUUCUGUUGUAUUCCUGCCUUCUUCAGCUUUUCUGCCUAGGAUGUGGUUUCACAGCCUGUUUUCAUUCUGAGAUCCAGUUUGUUCGUAUCCUUCUUUUUCGAUAACAAUUUUAUUGAGCUAUAAUCCACAUGCAGUACAAUUCACUCAAAGUGUAUAAUUCAAUGAUUUUUAAUAUAUCACAGAAUUGUGCAACCAUCACCAUGAUCAAUUUUAGAACAUUUUCAUCACCCCAAAAAGAAACCCUUAUACCCAUUAGCAGCAGCCACUCCUCGUUUCCCCCACCAAUCCCAGCCCUGGGAAACCAUUAGUUGCUUUUGGUCACUAUAGAUACACCUGUUCUGGGCAUUUUUUAUAAAUGGAAUCAUACAGGAUGCAUUCUUUUGUUUAACUGCUUCUUUCGUUUAGCAUAAUGUUUUUAAGGUUCAUCCAUGUUGUAGCAUGUAUCAGUACUUUGUUUGUUUGUUUGUUUUUGAGACAGAGUCUCACUCUGU